CUCAAUGAGACUGGCGACGAGCC
This 23-nucleotide non-coding RNA is filed under the name Cricetulus griseus (Chinese hamster). Lineage: Eukaryota; Metazoa; Chordata; Mammalia; Rodentia; Cricetidae. The record is from RNAcentral.